AGCAGCCGCGGUAAUUCCAGCUCCAAUAGCGUAUAUUAAAGUUGUUGCAGUUAAAAAGCUCGUAGUUGAAUUUCGGGGUUAGUAGGUUGGCCAUGCCUCUGGUAUGUACUGGUCUCACUGAUUCCUCCUUCCUGAUGAGCCGUAAUGCCAUUAAUUUGGUGUUGCGGGGAAUUUGGACUGUUACUUUGAAAAAUUAGAGUGUUUAAAGCAAGCUAACGCUUGAAUACAUUAGCAUGGAAUAAUGAAAUAGGACGUUCGAUCCUAUCUUGUUGGUUUCUAGGAUUGACGUAAUGAUUAAUAGGGAUAGUUGGGGGCAUUAGUAUUCAAUUGUCAGAGGUGAAAUUCUUGGAUUUAUUGAAGACUAACUACUGCGAAAGCAUUUGCCAAGGAUGUUUUCAUUAAUCAAGAACGAAAGUUAGGGGAUCGAAGACGACCAGAUACCGUCGUAGUCUUAACCAUAAACUAUGCCGACUAGGGAUCGGAUGAUGUUAAUUUUUUAAUGUACUCAUUCGGCGUACCC
This 520-nucleotide ribosomal RNA is filed under the name uncultured Glomus. RNAcentral's name for it is "SSU rRNA". It matches the Rfam family "Eukaryotic small subunit ribosomal RNA", at positions 569 to 1088 of the family's 1831-position model. The record is from RNAcentral. Lineage: Eukaryota; Fungi; Glomeromycota; Glomeromycetes; Glomerales; Glomeraceae.